This 253-nucleotide ribosomal RNA is filed under the name uncultured bacterium. RNAcentral's name for it is "partial 16S ribosomal RNA". It matches the Rfam family "Bacterial small subunit ribosomal RNA", at positions 524 to 776 of the family's 1533-position model. The record is from RNAcentral.
UACAGAGGGUGCGAGCGUUAAUCGGAAUUACUGGGCGUAAAGAGUGCGUAGGUGGCCAUGUAAGUCAGGUGUGAAAGACCUUAGCUUAACUAAGGAAUUGCAUUUGAUACCGCAUAGCUAGAGUAUGGUAGAGGAAAGUGGAAUUUCCGGUGUAGCGGUGAAAUGCGUAGAUACCGGCAGGAACACCAGUGGCGAAGGCGACUUUCUGGCCCAAUACUGACGCUGAGGCGCGAAAGCGUGGGGAGCAAACAGG